This 1267-nucleotide long non-coding RNA is filed under the name Equus asinus (donkey). RNAcentral describes it as "lncRNA (ENSEASG00005034118.1)". The record is from RNAcentral. Lineage: Eukaryota; Metazoa; Chordata; Mammalia; Perissodactyla; Equidae.
CCUAACAGCAUCAGCAUCUGCUGGGAGCUUAUUAGAAAUGCAGAAUCUCAACCCUAUGGAUUCAGAAUCUGAAUUUUAAUAAGAUCCCUAGUGAUUCAAGUCAUAUUAAAAUUUGAGCAGCAUUAGAACAGUGUUUCACAGCCUUGGCCCCAUAUUAACAUCUCUUGGGAAGCUUUUAAAUAUCCCAAUGCCCAGCUAUGCCACAGACUCAAAUCAAAACCUCUAGGAGCGGAACCUAGGCGUCAGCUUUGUUGUUGUUUCGUUAUCUCCCAAGGCAAUUCUAAUAUGUAGCCACGCUUGAGACCCACCAACUUAGAACGUCAUUUACAGUUUACACCUGAGGCUUCAUUUGCCUGGAGUCCCGAGAAAGCGUGAUGAUGAAGGGAAUGUGCAGAAUCACUGGCUGGAGGAGGGGCUUCAAACAACAGCAGAAAAGGAGAGAGGCAUUUCUUGUUGAGCUCCUCCUUCAACCAGAUAUUGUUUCAUUCUUUUAUAUAGACCUUCAAGACAACCCUGUCAGCAUCUUUUGAAGAGCAGAAGACCUUACUUUCAAAUGAAGUCCAAUUUAUCAGUUUCUCCUUUUGUGGACUGUGCUUUUGGCAAUGUAUCUAAGAACUUUUUCCUAACCCAAGGGCACAAAAAUUUUCUCCUAGAAAUUUUCUUCUGGAAUUUUUACAGUUUUAAAUUUUACAUUGAGAACUAUGAUCCUGGUGAAAGUGGCUAGAACGUUCAAUACAGUGUUGAAUAGAAGUCAUGACCCAAGAUAUCUUUGCCUCCUGCCUGAACAUAGUGGGAAAGCAUUUAGUCUUCCAACACUAAGUGUUAGCUGUGGGGGUUUGUAAUAGAUGGCCUUUAUCAGCACACAGUUGCAUAUCUUAGUUGCAGGUCCUUCUAGUUGUGGCAUAUGGGACACCACCUCAACGUGGCCUGACGAGCAGUGCCAUGUCCUCGCCCAGGAUCCGAACCAGUGAAACCCUGGGCCACCGCAGCAGAGCGCACGAACUUAACCACUCGGCCACGGGGCCAGCCCCUGUUCAGCUUUUUUCUUGUUGUCAGGCUGGGGGUGAUUCCCAGCUCUUUCCAUGUUGAACCAGAAAGUGGAAGUCCUUAGGUUUACUUUUGAUAUUUUUUCUAGCUUAAUUCUACUGUGGUCAGAGAAUAUACUCUGUAUUAUUCCAACUCUUUGAAAGUUGUGGACAGUUGCUUUGUGGCACAGCAUAUGGUCUGCUUUAGUCAGCCUUCUGAGUGUAGCUGAAGAGAACAUGUA